UCAACCAUCAAGCUCUGCUUAGUAUUGGGCGUCGUCCUUUGGGACGUGCCUUAAACGCCUCGGCGGCGGUUCUUAACCUCAAGCGUAGUAGAAUACUUUAUUUAGCUUUCUAGGUUCUGAGCCGUUGUGCCACGAGAAAACCAUACACCUCAA
This 153-nucleotide unclassified non-coding RNA is filed under the name uncultured fungus. RNAcentral's name for it is "sequence contains ITS2". The record is from RNAcentral. Lineage: Eukaryota; Fungi.